UCCCUGAUGGUCCAGCGGUUAAGAAUUUGCCUGCUGAUGCAAAGGACACGGGUUCAAAUCCUGCUCUGGGAA
This 72-nucleotide transfer RNA is filed under the name Bos taurus (domestic cattle). It matches the Rfam family "tRNA". Rfam says of the family: Transfer RNA (tRNA) molecules are approximately 80 nucleotides in length. Their secondary structure includes four short double-helical elements and three loops (D, anti-codon, and T loops). Further hydrogen bonds mediate the characteristic L-shaped molecular structure. tRNAs have two regions of fundamental functional importance: the anti-codon, which is responsible for specific mRNA codon recognition, and the 3' end, to which the tRNAs corresponding amino acid is attached (by aminoacyl-tRNA synthetases). tRNAs cope with the degeneracy of the genetic code in two manners: having more than one tRNA (with a specific anti-codon) for a particular amino acid; and 'wobble' base-pairing, i.e. permitting non-standard base-pairing at the 3rd anti-codon position. The record is from Rfam by way of RNAcentral. Lineage: Eukaryota; Metazoa; Chordata; Mammalia; Artiodactyla; Bovidae. RNAcentral also lists the same sequence under 5 other names.